Molecule: non-coding RNA, 22 nt
Filed under: Arabidopsis thaliana (thale cress)
Lineage: Eukaryota; Viridiplantae; Streptophyta; Magnoliopsida; Brassicales; Brassicaceae
Source: RNAcentral
UCAAAACUGAGUAUGAGCCAGA